CACGGAGGCCCCGAGCGUUGUUCGGAUUUACUGGGCGUAAAGCGUGCGUAGGCGGUUGGGUAAGUCAGAUGUGAAAGCCCGGGGCUCAACCCCGGAACUGCAUCCGAUACUGCCCGACUUGAGGGUUGGAGAGGAGACUGGAAUUCACGGUGUAGCAGUGAAAUGCGUGGAUAUCGUGAGGAAGACCAAAGGCGAAGGCAGGUCUCUGGACAACAUCUGACGCUGAUGCACGAAGGCCAGGGGAGCAAAAAGG
This 253-nucleotide ribosomal RNA is filed under the name uncultured bacterium. RNAcentral's name for it is "partial 16S ribosomal RNA". It matches the Rfam family "Bacterial small subunit ribosomal RNA", at positions 524 to 776 of the family's 1533-position model. The record is from RNAcentral.